Gossypium raimondii (Peruvian cotton) is the source of this 145-nucleotide non-coding RNA. Lineage: Eukaryota; Viridiplantae; Streptophyta; Magnoliopsida; Malvales; Malvaceae. The record is from Rfam.
UGUUAAAAUUUUUAUCUAUUUAUAUUAUUAAAAAUUUAUGUGAUUGAUAAAAUAAUCAGACAAUGAGAUAUAAUGUCUCACAUAUACCUCAUAUUAGCAUACAAAAAUUAACUUUUAAUAAUAUAAAUAAAUAAAAUUUUUAACA